This 446-nucleotide ribosomal RNA is filed under the name uncultured bacterium. RNAcentral's name for it is "partial 16S ribosomal RNA". It matches the Rfam family "Bacterial small subunit ribosomal RNA", at positions 338 to 795 of the family's 1533-position model. The record is from RNAcentral.
CCUACGGGAGGCUGCAGUCGAGAAUCAUUCACAAUGGGGGAAACCCUGAUGGUGCGACGCCGCGUGGGGGAAUGAAGGUCUUCGGAUUGUAAACCCCUGUCAUGUGGGAGCAAAUUAAAAAGAUAGUACCACAAGAGGAAGAGACGGCUAACUCUGUGCCAGCAGCCGCGGUAAUACAGAGGUCUCAAGCGUUGUUCGGAAUCACUGGGCGUAAAGCGUGCGUAGGCUGUUUCGUAAGUCGUGUGUGAAAGGCGCGGGCUCAACCCGCGGACGGCACAUGAUACUGCGAGACUAGAGUAAUGGAGGGGGAACCGGAAUUCUCGGUGUAGCAGUGAAAUGCGUAGAUAUCGAGAGGAACACUCGUGGCGAAGGCGGGUUACUGGACAUUAACUGACGCUGAGGCACGAAGGCCAGGGGAGCGAAAGGGAUUAGAUACCCUUGUAGUC